This 1160-nucleotide long non-coding RNA is filed under the name Nicotiana benthamiana. Its description in RNAcentral is "long non-coding RNA (NBEN_LNC017423)". The record is from RNAcentral. Lineage: Eukaryota; Viridiplantae; Streptophyta; Magnoliopsida; Solanales; Solanaceae.
GCCCCACCCCCCAAAAAAAACAAAUUUUAUCACUACCUUUCUGUCUUUUUCUGCAAGAAGGAAGAGAAAAAAUAUUUGAAUUUGCUUUUAUUUUGCCAUAUAUAUAGUGUGAUAUAAUGGCUUAUAAGAAAUUGGUAAAUAUGAAGCGAUGGAUUGACGUGGCACCAUCUCUUCUUUCCUCCCCAACAAAACGUAGUUCUCAUUCUCCAAAGCUUGAAACUAUCAAGGAAGAUGAUGGAGAUGAUAAAAACACCUCAAUAUUACAGAUUUAAUUCUUCAAAAAUCUUUAAAUUACAUUUUUUCUGGUUAAGGGAGGAAAAUAGGAUCAUCUUAUAUUAUUGCCACGGCCAAAGAUUUACAUAGUUGUUAGAACAAACAAUGUGAACACUUUUAUUGUCAAGAAGAUUAUUGUACUUACAAAACAGAAUCAAUCUAUAUGAUCUGAUUCCUCUUCUUAUUUAUUUUUUGAGAAUGUGUUUGAGAAUCAAGGAGGCGUGCUCUUAUGGUAAGCAACCUCCACUUCAACCAAGAGAUUAUGAGUUCAAAGUUUCCCAAGAGUAAGGUGGGAUGUUAUUGGAGGAAAGGAUAUCGGGGGUCUAUUUAGAAGCAGCCUCUCUAUCCUAGUGUAGGGGAAGAUCUGCGUACACAUUAUCCUUUUUAACCCUACUAAGUGAGAUUAUACUGGGUGGUUGAAACCUACUAAGUGAGAUUAUACUGGGUGGUUGUUAUUGUUUGAGAAGCAAACUGUUUUUAUCUAUUUCAUGUGUUUGUAACUAUGUUUGUUUAAUUAACAUUACAUGGGUUUAUACUGUUAUACACCAUAUUGUGUGUUGGUGUUUGCAAUUUUUCGUGUUCAUGAGAAAAGAAAAAGGAAGAGGGUUUGACGGUAAAAGUGAAAUGUAAUAUGGAACACAAGAAAAUUUAAAGAAGAAGAAAGGGAAUCCAAACCAAAAUAUACUUUCCACUCAGUUUCAUAUUUCCUGAAGACAUCAAGGAGAGUGUAUAAACAUAGGAGAAACGUUGAUAGAAAUUUUUAAUAUAUUUUAAAAGGUGUUCUCCAAAACGUCGAUAAGAGAUAUAUUACACUGUACGCACCUCGCAUCAGAAAAUAGGUGUUUGGAUAGUUUACUAUUGUAAUGAUCCGGCGAUUGUUAUUUCAC